GGGGGCUCCGGGCCGGAGGUGAGGGGCGGGGGCGGCGCUGGGCGAGCGCGCGGGGGAGGGGGCCAGGGCAGGCGGGGAGGAGCCGGCGGGGCGGGCACUGGGGCGAUUCGCCAAUCGGGGCAGACUCGGGUUCGUCCGGACUCUGGACCUGGGCCGGCAGGGGCUGAGGCGCUGCUCCUCGCCCUGCGCGGACUUUGGAAUUGGCUCGGGGACGGCCGCGGGCCGCAGCAGGAGCGCGUUUCCGAGGGACGCCGAGACCCCGACCCCGCCGAACCCCGAGGAUGCGCGCUCUUCCAGCCCUGGACGCGCCCGCCAGCCAGCGGCUCCUGCCCCGGGACCCCAAGGCACCCCGGGCCCCAGACGACGCGGCGGGACCGGCGCGCAGGAGCGCCGUGGAGAGGCUGGCCGCCGACCGCGCCAAGUACGUGCGGGGCCUGCCCGGGGUCGGCCCGCGCCCCGCUUCCGAGGGCGGCAGCUCCGGGGCGAGCGGAGGGCAGGUGGGCGACCCUCGGGCCCCGGCCCGCGUUCCCGGUCCGGUGGCGCGCAGAGCCAUUGCGCGGAAGCCGUUGCGGCCUGACUCGCUGGUCAUCUACCGGCAGAAAUGCGAGUUCGUCCGUGCGCCGGGCGCCGACAGCUCCCGAGCGGGGCUGGUGAGGAAGCUCUUUCAGGGGCCGGGCAGGGACAAGACGCCUGUGCCUCCUGAGACGUCCCAGGGGGCAGAAGAGGGCAGGGCCAGGGCCGAGGAGGCCGCCCGGACCAAGCCCAGCCCCGUGGAGGCCCCCGCGGCCCGGGCCCCCGCCACGCCCGUCGGGGCGCCCCCCGGAGUCCCGGCCGGGGCGCGGGGUGCGGGGCUUCCGGGGCUGAGGCGCGGGGCGCUGCAACGCUCGCAGUCGGACCUCAGCUCCCGCUACUCUGCGUCCCGGGCCGAGUCUGACACCUUCUUCCGCUACUGCGGCCUGGAUCCCGAGGUGGUGGAGGCGCUGGGGCGGGAGAACUUCUCCGCGGCGUCGGACCACGUCGCGCUCAAGGUCCGCAGCGUGAGCGUCGCCACCUCCGACAGCGGCUUCUCCCGGCACAGCAGCGGCGACGAGGGGCUGCAGGAGGAGGAGCUGACGGAGCAGGUGCCCAGCACCACCUCGGUGGUCGAGAGGAAUGCCCGCAUCAUCAAGUGGCUCUACACCUGUAGGAAGGCCAAGGAGGCCUCCGGCCAGGCGCUGCAGGGCCCGGCGUGACUGCGGGCCCGGAGCCCCAGCCCCGAGGUGUGCGUGCGGCACCCUGGGAGGGGAGGCUGUGCGUGCGUGUCUGUGAGGCUGGUGGCGGACUGAGUCACCUGUCUUCUGAGCACUCGCUCAAAGAAGGGAGACGACGUCACAGAGAGCCCGGCCCGUGUUCUGUGCGUCAUCAGCAUCACCGCACUGUGAGAUUUACGUCACAGAUUUACUCCCCCAGAGGCAAACACGGCUCGGUGCUUGGAAACGUCACCCCAGGGGACCCACAGCCUGGCCUUUGGAGGACUGUGAGGAGGAAAUGAUUCUCCUGGGCUUUCUCCACUCACUGGGCCCGGGGGAUGUCUGCUUGUGACCACGGCCCCUCAGUUCGCCGCCUCCAGACACCGCGUCUUCUCUGCGGAGGAGCCAGCAGAGAGCGAGACUCAGACGCAGAUUCCGCCUUCCUCUGUGAGGCUCGUCUGGCGGCUGGACCGGAAGGCGCUGACCUUCCUCACAGGGUCACUUGUAUGAGGCUAAUUCCAUAACAUAGGGAAGCGGUGGAAGCAAGAAUGCAGGCUGCCACUUUCUCUAGUUUCUCAGGACUUUUUUGUUGGAAUCCAUAUAGAUUCAUUUUAGGAUUUCACGAAAAAUUCAGAAAAUUGGAGAUGAACAAAGAUAUGCUUUCUAAGCGAAAAAGAAAAAUAUAUUUCAUAUGGAAGUUUUUGUCCCCUUGGUAAAUAGAGACAUUAUAACUUAAAAUGAAAAUAUUCCACCCAGAAUUAAAUAGAAAGUUCAUAAAUUUAUUACCCCAUGGAGUAAAAAUAUUUUCACAGUUGAGAAUAUCAGAGCUGGAGAGUGACUCACGGACUCUGUGCAAAUCCCACUGGGGACCCCUGAGUGGUAGACACACUCGGGUCGUUGUGGUUGCCGUUUCCCAGCCUGUAAUUCAUGAAAAUUACUCUUUCAUCCACUGGUAUUUAGUCAUCUUCCUGUCCUUCAAUUCAAUAAAAUGGCAGGCCUACCGAGAUUUAGUUCUCUCUGGUUUUCUGUCUUUUGCAUGGCGUAUGUGUUACUGAUUUUAAUAUUGUUAUCAAAGAAUGGUAGUUUUUCCUUUGGAUUAACUAGGGAUAAACAUUGUUCAAUUUCAAGGCAAAAAUAUCAGGGGCCGGCUGGUGGCAUAGUGGUUAAGUUCAGUGCCCUCUGCUUCUGCGGCCCAGGCUUGUGGGUUCAGAUCCCUGGGUGCCGACCUACACACCACUCAUCAAGCCAUGCUGUGGUGGCAUCCUGCAUAUGAAAUAGAGGAACGAUGGCACAGAUGUUAGGUCGGGGCUAAUCUUCCUCAAGCAAAAGAAAGACAAAAAUGAGAUAUUCCACAGCUCUCCGCACAUCUCUCUUUGGCAACAGAGGAGCGCCUGUGGCAACCGGCCCCCUGAAGCUGGUGGGAUAGAACUAGUCUCAUCAUGUGCGGAGAUGCCGAGGGGGAUGGAGCAAAUGCGCUUCCGCACCUUCUUUUCUGACCAGCUGCGAAGCUCCCCGUGUUAGGUGAACAAGUGGCUCCAGUAGCCUAGGGCCACCCCCUCUGCCUUCAGGCCAGCUCAGGGCCUUUUAGAGAGGUUUGUGUCUGAGAAGGGGGAAUCUGCCAUUGAAUGUUCAUUUAGAUUGCUGGCGUUGUUUUCUCUUUUGUUGUCCAGCUCUGAUAGCUGGCACUGGACUUACCAACAUUCAGAAAGAGCCUCUUUACUCCUAUGAGUAGUUGGAGGCACCCAGAAAUUUCCAAAGUCCAGAAAAAGGCCUGCAUGGCGAUGGAUAUUUGUUCUGCCAAAGAAACCAGAUGAUAGCUGUCUUUCCUAAGGCUACUUUGUUUCAAAAUUUAAAAUGCAACAAGGAGAUGUUUUAAAUGGGGAAAAUAUCACAAAACUAAAGACUGCAGGGGCCAGACUUUGUAGGAUGAUGUGUGGCUUUGUAACUUCGUCUAGACUGGUGUUGAGUCACUACUUUUUCUUACUCCCCAGGAAGCAAGCCUUCCCAAUAAUGGGGGCUCCUUGAAGAGUGUCGUGGAUGAUUUGGAACCCCAAGGCCAUCCUCACUGCCACAGGCUUUGUCUAGUGCACACAAGUGACCACAUGGUUGUUGUUUUCCUAGGAAUAAAGCACCCCAUUGAAGAAACGUAAGUAAUUGCAGAAGGGUUGAAAUGCCGUGGAGAAGAUGGCAACACAGAACUUGGAGAUUAGCUGAGUUACAACUGUUAGGACACGGCUGAGGCUCUGGAGAUGUUUUCUUGCUCAGGUGGACCUGUCCUUCCGGGGGCAGCAGAAGAGAGGAGAGCUGCUUGGAAACAUUUUCAGGGGCAUCUUUUUGACUGGCUUUCUGACAAAGAGGUACCGUGAUGCAUUUAAGUGAUGUCACAUUGAUUUUAAAAAGAGAAAAAAGCAACGAUCAUGACAACCAAGCGUGAACACCAUGGUAUUCACUGCUUUCAUUCAUCUUGGACAGAUUGGCACUGUUGAAAUCAAAGUGCCAUAAUCACAAGAAGGUCCCUUCUACUUGAAUACUAUGGCUAACAAGAGUAAACACACACUUACACAUGGACCCUCAACACAGACCUGCUGUGCUUGGCAUCCCUGGGCCUUAAACCACAGAGAGCUCCCAAACUGGGUGGCUGGUCAUCUUGCCUGAUGAGUCAGAAAGCACUUUUAAAGUUGCUUGAGGGCUACAAGGUCAUUCUAUUAAUGCUACUCCCGUUGGGUUGUAGACAUAUGGAAGUACAUUCCAAAAUAAGUUAGAGUUGAAAUACUGCUAAAAUACCUUUUCUCAGACCUGGACUAUUUCUUGAGAAUUGGCGGAAGAAUCUUGGAGCUUCCUUUCAUUAGAUCAAUAGCAGAAUUCCUCUUUUGCAGCACCAUUUAGAGUGUGCCUCCACAGUUCUCUUGUUCCCAGCUUCCAGAAGGAGAAGAAAACGUCGGUUUAUACAGAAUGUGGACGCGUGAAACAGAACACGCCUGCCCUUUGGUCUGGUUCCCACCUCCACGUAUGACACGGUCAUCUCAAACUGGCAAUAGUUCACCCUUCUCUGCAAAGGGUCUUUUUGAGACAAGGGGCAGUCUCUGGGUGGCCGGGCAUCAUGAAGAUCAGAAUCUUGUUGGUGAGGAGCUACUUAUUCAGAACGGGCUCUCGUGACACCCGGAGGCCACAGGUUUCAGACUCAGAACCUUCUGAGAGAAAUUUUAUGUCAGUGAUGGCACUCAAAGUAAAUUUUCACCCAGUCACCUCUUUCAAAGUCUACCAUAUUUUAUCAAAAUACAUCCUUUCAAGAACAAAAUUAUUAAAGAAUAUGGAGGGGAGGGAAAUGAGUUUUUCAAUGGUAAAUAUUUUAUAAAUCAAUCCAUUUUGAUAUAUUCAUGUAUUUGUUUAAUAGUGUAUUCUAUUUUUGUAACUUUUACUGUGACAGUAGGUCUUUGAGUUACUUAAAUAUUUAUUUUUACACAGUUAUUGAUCUUCAAAUAGUUUUCCUUCGCUUCAUAUGGUUUCAGUUUUUAUUGUAUAAUUUUGAAUCAUUUUCUCAUUGGCUGUCAUUUUGUAUAUGUUGUUUAAUUGAAUUUUCAACUUUUGGCUGUAAGUGUCCUCUGCUCUAUGAAGCAUUCGAUGCCAUAGUGAUUUGUUUUCAGAUUAGCCCCAGAUACAAAUUUUGGAGGCUCUGUUAGCAGACAAAUGUACUUUUCUCAAUGUAGACUCUAUUUAAAGACAGCAUAUUCCCCGCUUUCAGGAUUUUUCUCUAGUUCUCCCUCUAAAAAUGCUGCUAUUUUGCUGUUCACUGGAUUGCACUUACUUUAAAAAGAUAUUGUCAAAGAUGAGACUUUUUUUUUAAAAGGAUCUUUUCAUAUACCCAGUUCCCUUAUUUGCAGUUGUUGCAUUAAGUUUCUGUGUGAAUGCUUUAGGUGAAAUUGUUUUGUGCUUUUCUACUGUCAGAACAGGAUGAACUGAGACCUAGGUCAGAUUUAUCUUAGAUCCAAAUGGUGCAGACUUGCCAUCCAUACAGCAGAUGAAAAAUAUAAAAACAUAUUGGUUGCUGCUGAAAAGCACCAAGGUCUGCCAGAAGGGUGUGCACGUCAGUGGACGUACCAAGAGAGGAGAGAGUUCAGGUGGAGCGAAUGCUGGAAGUCAGUGUCAGAGGCGGGUGUGAAGAACAGGAAUGGGGUGUCCCCAGAUGCUCUCCCUCCCCUCGAUUCAGAUUCUCGCCUCAGCAUCAGGGCCCCAGUGUGUGGUUGGACGCACAAGUCCUCUCCUAACCCUGAGUUACCCCAAAUUGCCUAGUGACCCUGGGCAACCAAACUUUGUAGCUCAAUCUGAAUGACAAAGUUUGCAACUGCUUUUCACGAGGAUGAGCAGUAGUUACUACUGCAAAAUGGUUUUGUUUAUGAAAGAGCCGAACAUAAAAUAACGUGAUUAAAUGCAGUGGAAGGAAAAAUUAUUGAUAACCCAGGGAAAAUAGCUUGACAGUAUCUAUUCCACUAACAUAUGGUACAGAUUUGCAAUGCCUCAGACUGCAGGGUGUUUAUGUAACUGGAAGUUUCCUCAUUAUAUACAUGUGUGUAUGGUCUUUAAACCGCUGUCCGUGACACUGGACUAGAAGGAAAGCUGCUUUAAACUUUGCCCUUUUCAGUGGUUGAAAGUUCGUGCGACCUUGCCGUGGUUAUCGUUGGUGACGCCGUAAAACAUCAGGCCCAGACAGUGGUUACGGCAGUUUCUAAAUAUAGUUUUCUCUACCCAGUGCUUACAGCUGGAGUGCAAUAUUGUGUAUUCUGUACUAAAGAAAUAAAGCAUUUUUAUCAUUUGUUAAUACUAAUUUA
This is an RNA transcript of Equus quagga, 6055 nucleotides long. It is a transcript of the gene named family with sequence similarity 110 member C, with no coding region annotated. The record is from RefSeq and is a predicted model, not a curated record. Lineage: Eukaryota; Metazoa; Chordata; Mammalia; Perissodactyla; Equidae. The transcript is spliced from 2 exons.